RNAcentral lists this ribosomal RNA (1708 nucleotides) under human gut metagenome. RNAcentral's name for it is "bacterial LSU rRNA". It matches the Rfam family "Bacterial large subunit ribosomal RNA", at positions 1099 to 2820 of the family's 2925-position model. The record is from RNAcentral.
GGUUGGCUCAGAAGCAGCCAUCCUUUAAAGAGUGCGUAACAGCUCACUAGUCGAGUGACCCUGCGCCGAAAAUGUACCGGGGCUAAGCCUGAUACCGAAACUGCGGAUUGUAGGAAACUAUAGUGGUAGGGGAGCGUUGUAUACGAGCAGAAGCCGUACCGUGAGGAGCGGUGGAUUGUAUAGAAGUGAGAAUGCCGGUGUGAGUAGCGAGAUGUAGGUGAGAAUCCUACACACCGAAAGCCCAAGGAUUCCAGGGGAAGGUUCGUCCGCCCUGGGUAAGUCGGGACCUAACGCGAGGCCGAAAGGCGUAGUGGAUGGAAAGCAGGCGAAAGAUUCCUGCACCCGUAUAUGGAGCGAAGGAGUGACGGAGACGGAUAGUGUGACCCUCUUAAUGGAUUGAGGGCGAAGCGAAGCGGCUGGUUACCAGGCAAAUCCGGUAACCAUAAGGCUAGAGCGUGACAGGUAAGCGAAAUCUUCGGAAAGUAGCGAAGCACAUGAUGACGGCUUCCAGGAAAAGCUUCUGGCAAUGCAUAUGCGGCCCGUACCAAAACCGACACAGGUGGGCAGGGAGAGAAUCCCGAGGUGAGCGAGAGAACUGUUGCCAAGGAACUCGGCAAAAUGACUCCGUAAGUUAGCGAGAAGGAGUGCUUAAGCAAUUAAGCCGCAGUGAAGAGGCCCAAGCGACUGUUUAACUAAAACACAGCUCUCUGCGAAGUCGCAAGACGAAGUAUAGGGGGUGACACCUGCCCGGUGCUGGAAGGUUAAGAGGAUCUGUUAAGAGCGAUCUGAAGCAGUGAUCCGAAGCCCCAGUGAACGGCGGCCGUAACUAUAACGGUCCUAAGGUAGCGAAAUUCCUUGUCAGGUAAGUUCUGACCCGCACGAAAGGCGUAAUGAUUUGAACACUGUCUCGACAAUGUACCCGGCGAAAUUGUAGUACUAGUGAAGAUGCUAGUUACCUGCGACAAGACAGAAAGACCCCAUGGAGCUUUACUGCAGCUUGAUACUGGGUUUUGGUAAUUUAUGUACAGGAUAGGUGGGAUACGAAGAAGCAAGUGCGCCAGCAUUUGUGGAGUAGACGUUGGGAUACCACUCUUAAAUUAUUGAAAUUCUAACCUGUGAUCAUGAACUGGUCAGGGGACAAUGUCAGGCGGGCAGUUUGACUGGGGCGGUCGCCUCCUAAAGAGUAACGGAGGCGCCCAAAGGUUUCCUCAGCACGGACAGAAAUCGUGCAAAAGAGUGUAAAGGCAGAAGGAAGCUUAACUGGGAGACUGACAAGUCGAGCAGAUACGAAAGUAGGGCUUAGUGAUCCGGCGGUAGUGAGUGGAAAUGCCGUCGCUCAACGGACAAAAGUUACCCUGGGGAUAACAGGCUUAUCUCCCCCAAGAGUUCACAUCGACGGGGAGGUUUGGCACCUCGAUGUCGGCUCAUCGCAUCCUGGAGCUGAAGUCGGUUCCAAGGGUUGGGCUGUUCGCCCAUUAAAGCGGUACGCGAGCUGGGUUCAGAACGUCGUGAGACAGUUCGGUCCUUAUCUGUCGCAGGCGUAGGAUAUUUGAAGGGAGCUGUCCUUAGUACGAGAGGACCAGGAUGGACAUACCGAUGGUGUAUCAGUUGUCACACCAGUGGCACGGCUGAGUAGCUAAGUAUGGAAGGGAUAAACGCUGAAAGCAUCUAAGUGUGAAGUCCACCUUAAGAUAAGAUAUCCCAUUGC